AACGAACGCUGGCGGCAUGCCUAACACAUGCAAGUCGAACGAGAUCUUCGGGUCUAGUGGCGCACGGGUGCGUAACGCGUGGGAAUCUGCCCUUUGGUUCGGAAUAACAGUUGGAAACGACUGCUAAUACCGGAUGAUGACGAAAGUCCAAAGAUUUAUAGCCAGAGGAUGAGCCCGCGUAGGGUUAGCUAGUUGGUGUGGUAAAGGCGCACCAAGGCGACGAGCCUUAGCUGGUCUGAGAGGAUGAUCAGCCACACUGGGACUGCGACACGGCCCAGACUCCUACGGGAGGCAGCAGUGGGGAAUUUUGGACAAUGGGCGAAAGCCUGAUCCAGCAAUGCCGCGUGAGUGAUGAAGGCCUUAGGGUUGUAAAGCUCUUUUACCCGGGAUGAUAAUGACAGUACCGGGAGAAUAAGCUCCGGCUAACUCCGUGCCAGCCGCCGCCGUAA
RNAcentral lists this ribosomal RNA (449 nucleotides) under uncultured bacterium. RNAcentral describes it as "partial 16S ribosomal RNA". It matches the Rfam family "Bacterial small subunit ribosomal RNA", at positions 29 to 523 of the family's 1533-position model. The record is from RNAcentral.